This is a long non-coding RNA of Cavia porcellus (domestic guinea pig), 385 nucleotides long. RefSeq lists it as uncharacterized. The transcript has 2 exons. The record is from RefSeq and is a predicted model, not a curated record. NCBI's taxonomy places the organism in Eukaryota, Metazoa, Chordata, Mammalia, Rodentia, Caviidae.
UCAGCAGGCAGCUUAAUCGGAAGUGAUUUUUCAAAGAGGAAACAAGUGUUUAAACAUCUAAAAGGUUGCAUCCAGGCAGAGUUGAAAGUGCAGGGUUGAAUGAGAGGGAGCCUGACAGACUUGGUGCAAAAGAGAGGAACUUGAAGAGGAAGUCUCUUUCCAGAAGUGGAAGACUGACGAAGAUGGGGAUGACCUGUGCAGAAAUCCGUGAUGGAUGAAUUGUACACCAAUCUUACAGGAUCUGCUUUGGCAGAAUUUCUUCUCAGUGGGAGCUCCAGUGGGUAACUUCGGUAACUUUACACAUGCUGAUUGGCUCUUUAUGCCUCUUUGAGGCCCGCCAGGAGAGCAAUGUGGUACUAAUAAAAGACUUCAUGGCCCUCUGUUG